GCAGCCAUGCCGCGUGUGUGAAGAAGGCCUUCGGGUUGUAAAGCACUUUCAGUCGUGAGGAAGGCAUAUGCGUUAAUAGCGUAUGUGUUUGACGUUAGCGACAGAAGAAGCACCGGCUAACUCCGUGCCAGCAGCCGCGGUAAUACGGAGGGUGCGAGCGUUAAUCGGAAUUACUGGGCGUAAAGCGCAUGCAGGCGGCUUGUUAAGCCAGAUGUGAAAGCCCGGGGCUCAACCUCGGAAUAGCAUUUGGAACUGGCAGGCUAGAGUCUUGUAGAGGGGGGUAGAAUUUCAGGUGUAGCGGUGAAAUGCGUAGAGAUCUGAAGGAAUACCGGUGGCGAAGGCGGCCCCCUGGACAAAGACUGACGCUCAGAUGCGAAAGCGUGGGGAGCAAACAGGAUUAGAUACCCUGGUAGUCCACGCCGUAAACGAUGUCUACUUGGAGGUUGGUGYCUUGAACACUGGCUUUCGGAGCUAACGCGUUAAGUAGACCGCCUGGGGAGUACGGUCGCAAGAUUAAAACUCAAAUGAAUUGACGGGGGCCCGCACAAGCGGUGGAGCAUGUGGUWUAAUUSGAUGCAACGCGAAGAACCUUACCUACUCUUGACAUCCAG
RNAcentral lists this ribosomal RNA (611 nucleotides) under Photobacterium sp. RNAcentral describes it as "bacterial SSU rRNA". It matches the Rfam family "Bacterial small subunit ribosomal RNA", at positions 388 to 991 of the family's 1533-position model. Lineage: Bacteria; Pseudomonadati; Pseudomonadota; Gammaproteobacteria; Vibrionales; Vibrionaceae. The record is from RNAcentral.